RNAcentral lists this ribosomal RNA (492 nucleotides) under uncultured bacterium. RNAcentral's name for it is "partial 16S ribosomal RNA". It matches the Rfam family "Bacterial small subunit ribosomal RNA", at positions 29 to 507 of the family's 1533-position model. The record is from RNAcentral.
AGUGAACGCUGGCGGUAGGCCUAACACAUGCAAGUCGAACGGUAGCACAGUAAGAGCUUGCUCUUACGGGUGGCGAGUGGCGGACGGGUGAGGAACACAUCGGAAUCUACUUUUUCGUGGGGGAUAACGUAGGGAAACUUACGCUAAUACCGCAUACGACCUACGGGUGAAAGCAGGGGAUCUUCGGACCUUGCGCGAUUGAAUGAGCCGAUGUCGGAUUAGCUAGUUGGCGGGGUAAAGGCCCACCAAGGCGACGAUCCGUAGCUGGUCUGAGAGGAUGAUCAGCCACACUGGAACUGAGACACGGUCCAGACUCCUACGGGAGGCAGCAGUGGGGAAUAUUGGACAAUGGGCGCAAGCCUGAUCCAGCCAUACCGCGUGGGUGAAGAAGGCCUUCGGGUUGUAAAGCCCUUUUGUUGGGAAAGAAAAGCAGCAGGUUAAUACCCCGCUGUUCUGACGGUACCCAAAGAAUAAGCACCGGCUAACUUCGUG